GACGAACGCUGGCGGCGUGCCUAAUACAUGCAAGUAGAACGCUGAAGGAGGAGCUUGCUUCUCUGGAUGAGUUGCGAACGGGUGAGUAACGCGUAGGUAACCUGCCUGGUAGCGGGGGAUAACUAUUGGAAACGAUAGCUAAUACCGCAUAAGAGUAGAUGUUGCAUGACAUUUGCUUAAAAGGUGCAAUUGCAUCACUACCAGAUGGACCUGCGUUGUAUUAGCUAGUUGGUGGGGUAACGGCUCACCAAGGCGACGAUACAUAGCCGACCUGAGAGGGUGAUCGGCCACACUGGGACUGAGACACGGCCCAGACUCCUACGGGAGGAAGCAGUAGGGAAUCUUCGGCAAUCGACGGAAGUCUGACCGAGCAACGCCGCGUGAGUGAAGAAGGGUUUCGGAUCGUAAAGCUCUGUUGUAAGAGAAGAACGAGUGUGAGAGUGGAAAGUUCACACUGUGACGGUAUCUUACCAGAAAGGGACGGCUAACUACGUG
RNAcentral lists this ribosomal RNA (495 nucleotides) under uncultured bacterium. Its description in RNAcentral is "partial 16S ribosomal RNA". It matches the Rfam family "Bacterial small subunit ribosomal RNA", at positions 28 to 507 of the family's 1533-position model. The record is from RNAcentral.